This 253-nucleotide ribosomal RNA is filed under the name uncultured prokaryote. RNAcentral describes it as "partial 16S ribosomal RNA". It matches the Rfam family "Bacterial small subunit ribosomal RNA", at positions 524 to 776 of the family's 1533-position model. The record is from RNAcentral.
UACGAAGGGGGCUAGCGUUGUUCGGAAUUACUGGGCGUAAAGCGCGCGUAGGCGGCGAUACAAGUCAGGGGUGAAAUGCCAAGGCUCAACCUUGGAACUGCCUUUGAAACUGUAUCGCUGGAGUAUUGGAGGGGAGUGCGGAAUUCCUAAUGUAGAGGUGAAAUUCGUAGAUAUUCGCAAGAACACCAGUGGCGAAGGCGGCUUACUGGUCCGGUUCUGACGCUGAGGCGCGAAAGCGUGGGGAGCAAACAGG